GUCCAAAAGAAAGGUGAAUUAUUAUGUGGAUUAUUAUAAUUAACGACAAUGGGGAAAUCAAGACUGAAAUUUCUAAGUGGAAAUUACAAACUUCAGAAGCGUUUUCAAACCUCAAGUACACUACAGUUCCACUGCUGGGUUUUUCCAUACUGACACCAACAAUAAAAGCGGCCUGCAUCCUUAGGGGUGUGUGUGACUUCACAGGGGUGUGUGAUGGAGGGGUGGCCUCUGUAAGCCUCUCUGCCAACCUCAUAUAAACCCAUGCACACCCACACCACACACCCAUCCAAACACACUCUCUCACACACACACUCCGGCCGAGUACAGAACACACACAGAGAUGGACUUUCUGAAAGGAUCUGGGAAGCAGGUGGAUGCAGUGAUCGACAAAGCAGCUGUUGUGGUGAAGGAGAAGGUGGGAGAGAUGAUCGGAGGAGGAGCUAAGGAGGAGAAGAAAGAUGAAGGUAUUGGUGGCAUGGUGUCUAAUGCCGUGAAAGGGGCUGCAGCAGAUGCAGCUAUGGACAGUGCUGCAGACAAGGCCAUGUCUUUCGGAAAGAGCCUUUUCAACUGAAUCCCCAAACAUGGACUGAACCAUGUCUCAACCCUGGACUGUACCAUGUCUCAACCCCGGACUGUACCAUGUCUCAACCCCGGACCGUCCUUCCCAUCAACCAAUCCCAUCUUUAUACUAUUACUGAGAUCUGUAUAAUGUUUAUAGGAUGUCAUAAACAUGAAUAAAACACCAAUCUUUCAA
This 754-nucleotide long non-coding RNA is filed under the name Salmo salar (Atlantic salmon). Its description in RNAcentral is "lncRNA (ENSSSAG00000099859.1)". Lineage: Eukaryota; Metazoa; Chordata; Actinopteri; Salmoniformes; Salmonidae. The record is from RNAcentral.